GUCCUCUCAGGGUCGCACCUGGAGAGUUUCUGACACUCUACCAGUCUCGACUACAGGAGGAAGAGUCAAGCGGAGGCAUACCCAUUCCAUUCCUACCUCGGGCAGUGGCUAGUGAGUGGAAGGCAACCUGCUACAAGU
This is a small nucleolar RNA of Tachyglossus aculeatus (Australian echidna), 138 nucleotides long. The record is from RefSeq and is a predicted model, not a curated record. NCBI's taxonomy places the organism in Eukaryota, Metazoa, Chordata, Mammalia, Monotremata, Tachyglossidae.